UUUUAGGGGAAAAUAAACUAGAUUUCCCGUAGACUUCCAUAUAAAUUAGCGGCAAAAGCAAUGUCCAUACACAGCCGGGAGCCGUGAAUAACUUUAAAAAUCCUUAAGACUAAACAUGUCAAGUUAUUAUAUGUCCAACCUGCCUGCCACAUGAAAGAAACGUCCCCAAACUUAAUUUGGUUAAUUUGAAAAUACGUCCCUUAAUUCUCCCAGUGUCAAACUGGUGUAACGCAGUGGCCAGUCUUACCCUUACAUUUACUCAUACCUCAUCAAGUCACCAGGUUAGCCAGUGAAUGAUUUUACUUCGUAUUUGAAAGUAAACCUCUUUAAAUGUAUAUAUUAUGUCUUUAUAUUUAAAGUACUGAGUGAACUUUUCUGUCCAGCCAUACAAUUAGCCUGGCUUAGCUUUCGCUUAGCAUCAUACGUAAUUCAUGAUAUUUCCAUAACAGCAAGAUAUGUAUGAUGAUUGCAGGUAGCCAUGGUGCACCCAACCACACAACAACUCUUUGGCAUGUUGUAAGUCCACUUCCUCGAUGGAAGAUUUUAAAAAGGCAGAGCUGAAAUGUUUUAGGUAAUGCUGGUGCUGUUGUGAAGAUAUUGUGGAGUAGUGGUUUUAGAUCUGGUCUGUUGUAGGUUUGAACUCUGCAAGGGGCUGUUAUCAUUGUGCCUAUGAGCGGGGCAGUAAACCCCAGGUUGCUCCUUUAAUAAGUGUACUGUGUGUAAAGUGUAUGCAAAAUGACUACUGACUAGACCACUGCACUGUUUAUGUCCUUAUAUAUACACUUUGUAUUUAAGCAAAGGCUUUACACUGUAAGUAUCCGCUUCAAAUGACCAUGAAUUUAUUGCUGUGACACCUGAAAAGCGACUAAGCCUUACUGGAAAUGCGACGUGACUAUUUUAAGAGCAGCUGUAAUAGAGGUCACCCUUGUGGUUCAGAUUGGCUGAAAUACCUCACAGAUGAUUAGUCUAAAAUACUAGACAUUCUUUGUCAAAUUGUCCUGAUGAUUUCCUGGCUGCACAGUGUGAAGUGCGCCACAAACACGAGGCCGCAGUGUUACAAAUGCAUUAGCACACCCCCUCGCCAAGGGCCCCAAUCAGCAUUCCUUGCUAAAAACACUCCAUUCUUCCUGCCCAUAUUUGGGAGAGAGGGGUAGGGAAUCCCUCGCCAUGACUCAUCGAGUUUCUCCGACUGUAAGGGGAGUUCACGGGAUGGAACGAACAUGACUUGUGCAUUUGUGGAUUAAGGGAUGUGCAGUGCAAACUCCCUGCUAAGUCAUAAAGCAGGAGAAGUUUUUAACGCUGACUGCUGCUUGCUGUGGUGAAACGUGUUUCUGCUUUGUUCUCAAGAAUGUCUAGUAGGGAUCCUAUAUGUAAAUUAAUACUUUGUUUUUAUAGCACUGUGAUUGUAUUAUGAAUAUAACUGUCUGUACAUUGUACAUUGUUAAUGAAUUGUUAACGAUUUUAGUUUUUCAGAAAUGUAGAAAGAAAUUAUAACUUUGGAGCAAACUUUGCCAGUUUGACUUAAUUUACAGUUUUCUGUGUUAGUGCACAGUGUUCACUUCAGGUGCAAAUAUCUCUAAAUGUGCUUUUGUUUGCGGACAUAUGAAUAACAUAUUCUUUCCCUUCCAGUCCUUACAAACAAACUUUAUGACUGCGACACUAGGUAAGAACAAUCCUGAAUGCUCUUUUUUUCUCCUCUCUAUUUCUCUCUCUCUCAUUUCCCACACUUCACUUCUUCCACUGUUAACCAUAGUGGAUUCAAACACAAACAAACAAGCAACGCUGACGAUUGCAAUCACCACUAAUUUGGAGGCCCAGCUCUCCACCCCCACUCUCGUCUCCUGGACGCGCUCCAUCCCAGAAACCCUUGGGGCUCCAGAUGGGUGUACUGGAUGUCGUGAAGGGGAGAAAAGGACAGAGGAGCUGUCCAAAACCUCCUGUUCCCCUGCCUGGCCCAGUCUGGAGAGAGUUAGUGCCAUCCCAAUGGAUCAGGACAAGCAGCCCUUUGGUGCUGAUCCAGGAUCUGCUGGGUUUAUUUGAAUCUUCACCUAAUACACUUGAAGAGGAGCCACAAGACUGAUCACAAAACUGUUUCAGGCAAACCCUUGUUGUACAGCUUAAUAAGAAAGAGAGGACAGACUGAGGGACUCGCUCGUCGUGUCUAGAAACCUGGCGGUCCACUCAGGACAUCUUAGCAGCUGCAUACCAACAUACUAGAAAACACUCAAAACACCUUUGUGACCUCAUAGCAAACGCCCUGGCAACCAUCCACAACGCUUUAGCACCGUGGCAGCGACUUUUGCAAAUGCAAGCGUUAGUUUGCCUCCAUUGUUGUCGUCUUUGUCCAUUUCUUCCAUCUCUCUUUCUCUCUUCCUCGCUCUCUCUUAUAUCAUUCUGGCUCGGAUGAGUGAAGCAGCACCUUCUCUGUUAGGGAGUGUGGAGAGAGGAAGAGAGAGAGAGAGAGAGAAAGAGAUGCAAGGAAGGAGAGAGUAGGAGGUGGGGGGGGGCAGUGAUGACACUGCAUGGUGAAGUCAUACUCCAUGACAUCAUCCUCUGGAGCAGAGCCAGCUCUCUCUCUCUCUCUCGUCCUCAAUCUCUUUCUCCCUCUUAACACACUCUUUCAGAAGGAGCAGGAGUAAAACUCUAGGAGCCCUUUGUUCCCACAAUCCCCCACCACAAACAGCAGCCCCUUCCCUCCAGCACUCUGUCUCUGUCUCCCAGUCUCUCUCUCUCUCUCUCUCUGUCUGUCUGUCCAUCUCUUGUAGAGCCUCAGGGCUUGUGCUUGUAGAUGAGUUCUGGCUGCAGCACGAUCGAUACAAACCCGGCAAGUUGUGUGUCCCUGGUUCCCCUCCGUCUACACACACAGACACUGUUCAUUUACUACUCACUUUUAUUCAACAUGUGGUUCAGUGCUCGGCGGUUUUUGAAAUGGACAUGGACGCUCUUUGUUAAUGACAUGUAUGUUUCAUGCCUCACUUUUCUGGUAAUGUGAGUAGAGCUUGCCAGUGCAAAAGCCACCACCACAAUGCAAGGGCGUUGCUAAAGCGUUCUGAGUGGCUACUUGGGCACUUGCUUGCAAGUGUUUUCCGGGUGGUCACAUAUGGUCCAGACAUAUGAGCCAGAGUCUCUAGGAUUGUUUCAGACAAAAAUGGAAUGAAUGGUCACUUAGAAAUGCAUCUAACAAGCUGCUUGAUUCAUGUAUAUAGCACAUAUGGUUCAGGGCAAGUUAUACACACCUAAGGUAAAGGUAACGUUACUUGUUAAAUUUACACUAUAAUGGUCGAGGUAUUUGAGCAAAUAAGUGAAUAACUCAUUUUAUUUAUUUACUAAGAAAUACAACUGAAAACCUGUCUGUUUGGCAUUAUAGAUUUUUUUUGUUUUCUGUUGAUUGUGCACAUUAAUUAAAGGUAAGCACUCAAAUAAGAGAUACAUUCUGAUUUUAAUUAAAUGCAACUUUCUUCCAAGUUUAGAAAUGGAAUAUUCAGAUUAUGGCAUAGAAUAAUUAGUUACUUUUGGGGUUUAGAACCAGCUUUGGUUUAUAGGAUACUGGCUUUGAUGAACCAUAUGCUGGUGAUAUAUUGUUCAAUUUAAAGAUGCUGUAAGUGAUUUCAGCUAUCAACAGCCGUCCUCUUUACAAAAACCUAUCCUUCAAAGACAUGUCAACAAACCUCUUACAGAGCAUUUCUGAUUGGCUAGUUUUCUGUGUACCAGC
Long non-coding RNA from Carassius gibelio (silver crucian carp), 3712 nucleotides. RefSeq lists it as uncharacterized. The transcript is spliced from 3 exons. The record is from RefSeq and is a predicted model, not a curated record. NCBI's taxonomy places the organism in Eukaryota, Metazoa, Chordata, Actinopteri, Cypriniformes, Cyprinidae.